CCUACGGGAGGCAGCAGUGAGGAAUAUUGGUCAAUGGGCGCGAGCCUGAACCAGCCAAGUCGCGUGAGGGAGGACGGCCCUACGGGUUGUAAACCUCUUUUGCCGGGGAGCAACGGGCGCCACGUGUGGCGUCACUGAGAGUACCCGGAGAAAAAGCAUCGGCUAACUCCGUGCCAGCAGCCGCGGUAAUACGGAGGAUGCGAGCGUUAUCCGGAUUUAUUGGGUUUAAGGGGUGCGUAGGCGGUUCGUUAGGUCAGUGGUCAAAUUGGGGGGCUAAACCCCUUCCCGCCAUUGAAACUGGCGUUCUUGAGUGGAAGAGAGGUAUGCGGAAUGCGUGGUGUAGCGGUGAAAUGCAUAGAUAUCACGCAGAACCCCGAUUGCGAAGGCAGCAUGCCGGCUUCCGACUGACGCUGAAGCACGAAAGCGUGGGGAUCGAACAGGAUUAGAUACCCGAGUAGUC
RNAcentral lists this ribosomal RNA (460 nucleotides) under uncultured bacterium. RNAcentral's name for it is "partial 16S ribosomal RNA". It matches the Rfam family "Bacterial small subunit ribosomal RNA", at positions 338 to 795 of the family's 1533-position model. The record is from RNAcentral.